CUAGAGUUUGAUCCUGGCUCAGGACGAACGCUGGCGGCGUGCCUAAUACAUGCAAGUCGAGCGGAGUUUUGAAAAGCUUGCUUUUCAAAACUUAGCGGCGGACGGGUGAGUAACACGUGGGCAACCUGCCCUUGAGACGGGGAUAACUCCGGGAAACCGGAGCUAAUACCGGAUAACACAUAUCUUCGCAUGAGGAUAUGUUAGAAGGUGGCUUUUAGCUACCACUCAAGGAUGGGCCCGCGGCGCAUUAGCUAGUUGGUGAGGUAACGGCUCACCAAGGCGACGAUGCGUAGCCGACCUGAGAGGGUGAUCGGCCACACUGGGACUGAGACACGGCCCAGACUCCUACGGGAGGCAGCAGUAGGGAAUCUUCCGCAAUGGACGAAAGUCUGACGGAGCAACGCCGCGUGAGUGAUGAAGGUUUUCGGAUCGUAAAGCUCUGUUGUUAGGGAAGAACAAGUAUCUGUUGAAUAAGCAGGUACCUUGACGGUACCUAACCAGAAAGCCACGGCUAACUACGUGCCAGCAGCCGCGGUAAUACGUAGGUGGCAAGCGUUGUCCGGAAUUAUUGGGCGUAAAGCGCGCGCAGGCGGUUCCUUAAGUCUGAUGUGAAAGCCCACGGCUCAACCGUGGAGGGUCAUUGGAAACUGGGGAACUUGAGUGCAGAAGAGGAGAGCGGAAUUCCACGUGUAGCGGUGAAAUGCGUAGAGAUGUGGAGGAACACCAGUGGCGAAGGCGGCUCUCUGGUCUGUAACUGACGCUGAGGCGCGAAAGCGUGGGGAGCGAACAGGAUUAGAUACCCUGGUAGUCCACGCCGUAAACGAUGAGUGCUAAGUGUUAGAGGGUUUCCGCCCUUUAGUGCUGCAGCAAACGCAUAAGCACUCCGCCUU
This 890-nucleotide ribosomal RNA is filed under the name Priestia endophytica. RNAcentral describes it as "bacterial SSU rRNA". It matches the Rfam family "Bacterial small subunit ribosomal RNA", at positions 9 to 873 of the family's 1533-position model. The record is from RNAcentral. Lineage: Bacteria; Bacillati; Bacillota; Bacilli; Caryophanales; Bacillaceae.